RNAcentral lists this ribosomal RNA (301 nucleotides) under uncultured bacterium. RNAcentral's name for it is "partial 16S ribosomal RNA". It matches the Rfam family "Bacterial small subunit ribosomal RNA", at positions 509 to 808 of the family's 1533-position model. The record is from RNAcentral.
CAGUAGCCGCGGUAAUACGUAGGUCCCGAGCGUUGUCCGGAUUUAUUGGGCGUAAAGGGAGCGCAGGCGGUUUAGUAAGUCUGGAGUUAAAGGCAUUGGCUCAACCAAUGUAUGCUUUGGAAACUGUUUGACUUGAGUGCAGAAGGGGAGAGUGGAAUUCCACGUGUAGCGGAGAAAUGCGUAGAUAUAUGGAGGAACACCGGUGGCGAAAGCGGCUCUCUGGUCUGUCACUGACGCUGAGGCUCGAAAGCGUGGGUAGCGAACAGGAUUAGAGACCCCAGUAGUCCCUGUCUCUUAUACA